GGUUAAGCGACUAAGCGUACACGGUGGAUGCCCUGGCAGUCAGAGGCGAUGAAGGACGUGCUAAUCUGCGAUAAGCGUCGGUAAGGUGAUAUGAACCGUUAUAACCGGCGAUUUCCGAAUGGGGAAACCCAGUGUGUUUCGACACACUAUCAUUAACUGAAUCCAUAGGUUAAUGAGGCGAACCGGGGGAACUGAAACAUCUAAGUACCCCGAGGAAAAGAAAUCAACCGAGAUUCCCCCAGUAGCGGCGAGCGAACGGGGAGCAGCCCAGAGCCUGAAUCAGUAUGUGUGUUAGUGGAAGCGUCUGGAAAGGCGCGCGAUACAGGGUGACAGCCCCGUACACAAAAAUGCACAUGCUGUGAGCUCGAUGAGUAGGGCGGGACACGUGGUAUCCUGUCUGAAUAUGGGGGGACCAUCCUCCAAGGCUAAAUACUCCUGACUGACCGAUAGUGAACCAGUACCGUGAGGGAAAGGCGAAAAGAACCCCGGCGAGGGGAGUGAAAAAGAACCUGAAACCGUGUACGUACAAGCAGUGGGAGCACGCUUAGGCGUGUGACUGCGUACCUUUUGUAUAAUGGGUCAGCGACUUAUAUUCUGUAGCAAGGUUAACCGAAUAGGGGAGCCGAAGGGAAACCGAGUCUUAACUGGGCGUUAAGUUGCAGGGUAUAGACCCGAAACCCGGUGAUCUAGCCAUGGGCAGGUUGAAGGUUGGGUAACACUAACUGGAGGACCGAACCGACUAAUGUUGAAAAAUUAGCGGAUGACUUGUGGCUGGGGGUGAAAGGCCAAUCAAACCGGGAGAUAGCUGGUUCUCCCCGAAAGCUAUUUAGGUAGCGCCUCGUGAAUUCAUCUCCGGGGGUAGAGCACUGUUUCGGCAAGGGGGUCAUCCCGACUUACCAACCCGAUGCAAACUGCGAAUACCGGAGAAUGUUAUCACGGGAGACACACGGCGGGUGCUAACGUCCGUCGUGAAGAGGGAAACAACCCAGACCGCCAGCUAAGGUCCCAAAGUCAUGGUUAAGUGGGAAACGAUGUGGGAAGGCCCAGACAGCCAGGAUGUUGGCUUAGAAGCAGCCAUCAUUUAAAGAAAGCGUAAUAGCUCACUGGUCGAGUCGGCCUGCGCGGAAGAUGUAACGGGGCUAAACCAUGCACCGAAGCUGCGGCAGCGACACUAUGUGUUGUUGGGUAGGGGAGCGUUCUGUAAGCCUGUGAAGGUGUGCUGUGAGGCAUGCUGGAGGUAUCAGAAGUGCGAAUGCUGACAUAAGUAACGAUAAAGCGGGUGAAAAGCCCGCUCGCCGGAAGACCAAGGGUUCCUGUCCAACGUUAAUCGGGGCAGGGUGAGUCGACCCCUAAGGCGAGGCCGAAAGGCGUAGUCGAUGGGAAACAGGUUAAUAUUCCUGUACUUGGUGUUACUGCGAAGGGGGGACGGAGAAGGCUAUGUUGGCCGGGCGACGGUUGUCCCGGUUUAAGCGUGUAGGCUGGUUUUCCAGGCAAAUCCGGAAAAUCAAGGCUGAGGCGUGAUGACGAGGCACUACGGUGCUGAAGCAACAAAUGCCCUGCUUCCAGGAAAAGCCUCUAAGCAUCAGGUAACAUCAAAUCGUACCCCAAACCGACACAGGUGGUCAGGUAGAGAAUACCAAGGCGCUUGAGAGAACUCGGGUGAAGGAACUAGGCAAAAUGGUGCCGUAACUUCGGGAGAAGGCACGCUGAUAUGUAGGUGAAGUCCCUUGCGGAUGGAGCUGAAAUCAGUCGAAGAUACCAGCUGGCUGCAACUGUUUAUUAAAAACACAGCACUGUGCAAACACGAAAGUGGACGUAUACGGUGUGACGCCUGCCCGGUGCCGGAAGGUUAAUUGAUGGGGUCAGCGCAAGCGAAGCUCUUGAUCGAAGCCCCGGUAAACGGCGGCCGUAACUAUAACGGUCCUAAGGUAGCGAAAUUCCUUGUCGGGUAAGUUCCGACCUGCACGAAUGGCGUAAUGAUGGCCAGGCUGUCUCCACCCGAGACUCAGUGAAAUUGAACUCGCUGUGAAGAUGCAGUGUACCCGCGGCAAGACGGAAAGACCCCGUGAACCUUUACUAUAGCUUGACACUGAACAUUGAGCCUUGAUGUGUAGGAUAGGUGGGAGGCUUUGAAGUGUGGACGCCAGUCUGCAUGGAGCCGACCUUGAAAUACCACCCUUUAAUGUUUGAUGUUCUAACGUGGACCCGUGAUCCGGGUUGCGGACAGUGUCUGGUGGGUAGUUUGACUGGGGCGGUCUCCUCCUAAAGAGUAACGGAGGAGCACGAAGGUUGGCUAAUCCUGGUCGGACAUCAGGAGGUUAGUGCAAUGGCAUAAGCCAGCUUGACUGCGAGCGUGACGGCGCGAGCAGGUGCGAAAGCAGGUCAUAGUGAUCCGGUGGUUCUGAAUGGAAGGGCCAUCGCUCAACGGAUAAAAGGUACUCCGGGGAUAACAGGCUGAUACCGCCCAAGAGUUCAUAUCGACGGCGGUGUUUGGCACCUCGAUGUCGGCUCAUCACAUCCUGGGGCUGAAGUAGGUCCCAAGGGUAUGGCUGUUCGCCAUUUAAAGUGGUACGCGAGCUGGGUUUAGAACGUCGUGAGACAGUUCGGUCCCUAUCUGCCGUGGGCGCUGGAGAACUGAGGGGGGCUGCUCCUAGUACGAGAGGACCGGAGUGGACGCAUCACUGGUGUUCGGGUUGUCAUGCCAAUGGCACUGCCCGGUAGCUAAAUGCGGAAGAGAUAAGUGCUGAAAGCAUCUAAGCACGAAACUUGCCCCGAGAUGAGUUCUCCCUGACCCUUUAAGGGUCCUGAAGGAACGUUGAAGACGACGACGUUGAUAGGCCGGGUGUGUAAGCGCAGCGAUGCGUUGAGCUAACCGGUACUAAUGAACCGUGAGGCUUAACCUU
RNAcentral lists this ribosomal RNA (2903 nucleotides) under Escherichia coli. RNAcentral's name for it is "23S ribosomal RNA". It matches the Rfam family "Bacterial large subunit ribosomal RNA". The record is from RNAcentral. Lineage: Bacteria; Pseudomonadati; Pseudomonadota; Gammaproteobacteria; Enterobacterales; Enterobacteriaceae.